This is a long non-coding RNA of Homo sapiens (human), 4498 nucleotides long. Ensembl annotates it as ST3GAL6 antisense RNA 1. Its record names the gene ST3GAL6-AS1. Lineage: Eukaryota; Metazoa; Chordata; Mammalia; Primates; Hominidae. The record is from Ensembl.
AGGAAAGGCGGCGGGUGGCUUCAGGACAAGGACUUUGUGAUUACAUUGGGCCCAUCCAGAUCAUCCAGGAUCAUCUUCCCAUCUCAAGAUUCUUCACUUAAUCACAUCUGCAAAAUUCCUUUUGCUGUGUAAGCUGUGAGAUAUCGGUGGGCGAGGAUGUGAUGCCUGAAGAUGUGGCAUCUACCUUGAAACAGUCAAGGACCUGAGGAUGAAGCCAGCAUCUGAGGAAGACAGACAGAAAGGAUCUGGAUACAUCAUGAGCCUGAAAAGUAUCUUGCAUACACAACUGGCAGCACAGAAUCCUGACAAACCUCUCAUCAGAAAUCAACCACAGACUCUUUAUGCUCUUACCAAAAUGCUGGCUUUGAGAACUAAUUAUGAAUGAAAAUUACUGAUGUGAUUUUCAGGUGAGAGACCCUAUUAGACAAAAUUUUGGAUUCAUUUUUUUCUCUUGAGUAAAACAUGGGGAAAAAAUCUUUCUCAAUUUUAUCUUUGAAUCAAACUAUAUCAUGAAAGGGCUAUGUUUUUAUCCCUUACAAUUAAUACCAUGAAGGGUCCAGCAAUAGAAUACAUCACCUGUAUUAACUAUAUAACUAUCUUUCAGAAUUAAUUCCUGCAUAGGUAAAUGAGUAAUUCUCUAAUUCCUACAAUUUCUACAACUCUAAGAUUCUGUGAUAUCAAAAUUUUCAAGUAUUAUACUAAACUCUCAAUAUAUAUUGAUAAGCUGGUUCUUUUGCUAUUGCAAAAAUUCAACUAAGAGAUAGGAAAAUGGGUCAAUGGCAACAACAAAUUAAUGGAGACUGCAGCAAAAGAUUAUUUAACAUACUUUCUUCCCUUUUAUGGAAAAGAGAGCUGUUCUCCUUUUUGAACCAUAUUCCCCUAAAUACCCUCACAAUCUUCUUAGGCCUCUCACUCCUUCAUUUUCUUUUCUAGCCCCUUCAUCUCAUCCUUAUUUUGAAUUCAGAUGAGUUAAUACAGUUUGAUGGCCUAGUUCAGAUUCUAGAAAGGGACAGCUAUUCAGAGAUGAUAGUGACAUGCUUUUCUCUUCUCACAUUGCUUCUCUUUAAAGAAUUUACAGGACUUCUGCCUACAUUUACAUCUGAAAACAAUAGUUUCAUUUGGUGUCACAUCCUUGCCCAAAUUUAUUGAGAAUAUUGGUAAAGGACAACAUAUUUACAAGGAUUUCUUUAUUAAAAACUGGGGAGAUUGGCAAGUGACACUGUCACUAAAUAAAUAAAAAUAAAAACUGAGAAAAGCAAUAACAUUUGAUUUGUCAUUUCCCAGUCUAGGGAAGAAUAUCAAGUUAAACUUUAUGAAGUCCAAGACAAUGGGAAAAGAAGAGGUGUUCCUGUCCAGGCCCUCUUCCAGUUAGAAGGUGAUGGUUUCCAGAAGUCUGCACCUGUAUUUCAAUUACCUAUAAUGGAGUUUAUAGGACUAAACUAUAUUCACUAUAUUUUCUUAUUUUUGUGUGUGUGUUUGAUGUGCUGGCAACUGGGGACUUGGUAACUGGGGAGGGAUAGCUCUUCUCAGGAAGAGCUAAUUCUUAGAGAUACAGGGAGCAUGCUUUUCAUAUGCAAACUACUCAAACUGGAGUCCACACUUCCCCAACCUCCUCUAUAGGACUCUUACUCUCCUGCCCGAUAUUCCCCUGCUCUAAUCAUCUUGGGGCCAGGUACCAGGCAACUCAGGACGGCCACUACACCUCCAGAGCCCACUGACAUUAUUAAAACUAGACAAUUCUAAGCUGCUUGCCCUACCUUGACCUUAUUCCUUUUGUUGCAAAACGCAAUAAAGGGUCUUGCCACAUUUUCCUUCUGCUCCCUCUGCCUCCGGACUGACCCUGGUGCUUUCCUUUGUGGGCCUUCGUGGCUUACCUCGUGUUUCUAGGAACCUGCAAGUGUAAAAACUUCUUUCUUCAUGACAGUCAUUUCCAUGACUGCUGCCUUACUAUACCUGAUUUAAACAAAUCCUGAGCACAUUUUAAAACAUAAAUUCAACAGCUGGACCUGCUAUGCAGAGCAAUUCAGGCGGAGGGAAUGGCUCAUGCACACUCUCCAAGUACUGUUAGGUAUGAGUUCUAAAUUUCUCUUCAAAGAAUCAAUAUGUCAGUAUGUUCAGUUCUUUGCCUUCUACUGUUAAACUUAACUUCCUCGUAAAGCAACCUUUUUCCAUUACCUGCUCCACCCUGACUCAUUCUGAUUACCUGCUCAUUCUCCACCCUGGCUUACUCUGAUUUCCUGCUCUGCCCUGUAACCAUUUUUCCCGCCAAACCACUCACCCUGUCACUCUCUUUAAAUUAGCCAAUUGGAAUUAGUUUAGCCUGUGCAGUCUAACCCAAGCCAAUAGGGGAACCAUACAGCAGCAGGGACCACGUGCCUCAGGGAUAAGAACCCCUUCCCCUCCCUUGUCCAAGUGUGCGCUCACGAUUGCUCCAUCUGUAAGGGUGCACCCUUCUAUAGAAGUACGUUGUCUUGCUGAGAAUUAAAAAGAAAAUUUUAUAUUCGAGCGCUAUUUCUUUUGCGGCACUGAAACUUUAUUUAUAAUAGUAUGAAUGAGCCUGGCAUGUGCAGGGAAGAACCAGCAGAUCGGUCUGGCUGGAGCAUAUCAUACGAGGGGAGCGUAAUGGGCAAGGAAGCCAAAGAGGAGGUAGGAGCUAGAUCGUUCAUCACGCAGGGCCUCGAAGGCAAGGGUAAGGAAUUGGGAUUUGAUUCUAAAUGCGAAAGGAAGUAAAUAAAAUAUUUUACGCAAGGAGUGAUUGAAUCUGACAUAUUUUUUAAAAAAUCACUCUGAGGUCUACUUGGAGAAAGAAUUACAAUGAUGCAAGAGUGGAAGCAGAAAAGCCAGUCUGGAGACUACUGCAGGACCUGAGGCAAGAGAUGACAAUGGCUUGGACCAUGCUGGCGGCUGUGGAUAUGGAGCCCAGUGCCAUCUAAAUUUAUCCUAAAGAAUGCAGAAAAUCAAAGACUAGUCUCAUAUGAGACAAACUCAAGCCCCAGCAGAAUAACAAGUGGGACCCUGAGGAGUAUAAAUAAUGCCAGAUCAUUUCUUUCUUUGAUAGAAUGAUGAGUCACCUUAAUCAGGGGAAGAAGAGUUUCUGGUAAAAAAUCUUGAGUCACGCACUUUUUUUUUUUUUAACGUCUCAAGGUAGAAUUGUCUAAUGCUUAGGUGGUCCACAUCUUACAGGUUAUCUAGUUUGGUUCCCAUAUUUCAUGAGUAAGAAAAAUGAAGUGAACUCAUCGUGGUGAGGGUCUUGCCCAAAUUAAACCUCUGGAGAGUAGAUUCUUUAAUGCUCAAGAGGCUUUUUGCAAGGAAAGAACAUACUCUUUGGGCAUUGUUCAAUGCUCAAUUUAUUAGUCUAAUAUUCUAUUCCCAGUAAAAUGCUCAAAUUCAGGAAGGAUUCCAAAAAAUCAGUUCGGGACGGGUGCGGUGGCUCACGCCUGUAAUCCCAGCACUUUGGAAGGCCAAGGCUGGCGGAUCACAAGGUCAGGAGAUCAAGACCAUCCUGGCUAACACGGUGAAACCCCAUCUCUACUAAAAAUACAAAAAAUUAGCCAGGCGUGGCAGCGUGUGCCUGUAGUCCCAGCUGUUGGGGAGGCUGAGGCAGGAGAAUGGUGUGAACCUGGGAGGUGGAGCUUGCGGUGAGCUGAGAUUGCCCUACUGCACUCCAGCCUAGGAGACAGAGCAAGACUCCAUCUCAAAAAAUAAAAUAAAAAAUCAGUUCAAUGUUUUUUCUGUUCUUUUUUGUGCUUCUGUUUUUUAACCUCUUCGAGGUAAGACUGGAUAAUGAUACCCAUCCAACAUAUUUUCAAUAUGUUUUGGAAAACAAAGAUAUUGAUAAGCAGGUACUAUGCAGAGUGCCAGAUUAAAACCUUUAGAGACUCAAAGUUCAAAAAUGUUAUAGAGUCCAUACUCAAUAUGUAAUUCUAUAUAAAAAUAAUACUAGUCCAUAAUGUAAGUGGGAGACCAGCAAGAUCCUGAUAAUUUUCAAAUGACUUUUUCUGUAGUUUAAAAAUAACCACUUUUUAACUUAAAAAAAGUUCUUUUGAUGCCUCUGUUUUUGGUGUCCUAAGAAUGUAUUUAAGCUGCAUUUGGGUAAUCCAGUUGCAGUUGAGCAUCUGCUGUGCUUUACACUAGAUGAGGAAAUGGGAUAUGACAGAGAAUGACUGGAGGGCUUCUUGAUUGCGUUAUCAGAACAGACUUCUCUGAGGAGGGAACUUUCAAGUUGAGGUCUAAAUGAUGAGGAGAACCCAGCUACGUAAAGAUUAAUGGAAUGAGCAACCCAGGAAAAAGAAAGAAAGAAGAAACAGGAUCCUGGACAUCAAGUAGCUCCCCAUCUAGUCAGGGAGACAGACAUAAAAAGAGCUCAUUUUGGCCGCGCAUGGUGGCUCACACCUUUAAUCCCAACACUUUAGGAGGCUGAGGUGGGUGGAUUGCUUGAGGUCAAGUGUUCGACACCAGCCUGACCAACAUGGUGAAACCCUGUCUCUGCUAAAAAUAC